This 253-nucleotide ribosomal RNA is filed under the name uncultured bacterium. RNAcentral describes it as "partial 16S ribosomal RNA". It matches the Rfam family "Bacterial small subunit ribosomal RNA", at positions 524 to 776 of the family's 1533-position model. The record is from RNAcentral.
GACAGAGGAGGCAAGCGUUGUGCGGAAUUACUGGGAUUAAAGGGCGAGUAGGCGGUGAGAUAAGUCCGAGGUGGAAUCCUUUGGCUUAACCAGAGAACUGCCUUAGAUCCUGUUUCACUUGAGUCAGUGAGGGGAGGGCGGAAUUCCCGGUGUAGCGGUGAAAUGCGUAGAUAUCGGGAGGAAGGCCAGUGGCGAAGGCGGCCCUCUGGCGCUGAACUGACGCUGAGGCGCGAAAGCGUGGGUAGCAAACUGG